This 253-nucleotide ribosomal RNA is filed under the name uncultured bacterium. RNAcentral's name for it is "partial 16S ribosomal RNA". It matches the Rfam family "Bacterial small subunit ribosomal RNA", at positions 524 to 776 of the family's 1533-position model. The record is from RNAcentral.
UACAGAGGGGGCAAGCGUUAUUCGGAAUUCUUGGGCGUAAAGGGCGCGUAGGCGGCUUGGCAAGUGGAUGGUGAAAUCCCUCGGCUUAACCGAGGAACUGCCAUCCAGACUGCUUUGCUUGAGGCCGGGAGAGGUGAGUGGAAUUCCCAGUGUAGCGGUGAAAUGCGUAGAUAUUGGGAGGAACACCAGUGGCGAAGGCGGCUCACUGGACCGGUUCUGACGCUGAGGCGCGAAAGCGUGGGGAGCAAACGGG